AUGCAUUUCUUGGUUGUUAUCCCUUUACCAGCGUGGGCUCUAAAGAUUAUUGACAGAAGAUGUAGAGCUUUUGUGUGGAGGGGUGAGGAGGAAAUCAUUGGAGGCCAUUGCCUGGUUCCCUGGGCCCGGGUUUGCAGACCUAAGCAAUGGGGAGGACUCGGUCUUUUGAACCUGAAAGAUUUUGGGAUUGCGCUCCGGUGUCGAUGGCAGUGGCUAAGAUGGGAUGCGGAAGAACGCCCGUGGCAGCUAUUCCCAGAUCAGCAAGACAAGGAUGCCUCUGCUAUCUUUGCGGCUGCAGGUCGAGUGAUCCUGGGGAGAGGCGACACUGCCAGAUUUUGGACUGACAACUGGACACCGGAACACAAUCGAAGAUGGCUAAGGGACAUCCAAGGUGGCUUGACAGUCCAAGCCUUGGUGCAAUACUUAUGGGUCUGGGACAUGGCACAGGCUACUGUACUCGAUUCGGAGGCUCAGGAUCGGCUUGAGUGGAGGAUGACAGAACACCACCAAUUCACAGUCAGCAGUGCUUAUAAGAUGUUCUUCAUGGCUGGAAUAAGGUUUGCCUGUUACAAACCCUUGUGGAAAUCCAAAGCGCCCCCACGUUGCAAGUUCUUCAUAUAGCUUGUCAUACAUAAGAAGUGCCUUACAGCAGAAAAUCUUCAGAAAAGAGGUUGGCCGUCCAAUCGGGAUUGCGCGCUCUGUUCUGUGCAACCAGAGAGCUGCACACACCUUUUUAUUUACUGCAGAUUUACCCAACAGCUCUGGAUCCUCUUCAAACAAUAGUCUACGGUGAAUUUUCCCAUCCCGGACAGCAGCUUCGACAGCACGAAAGAUGGCUGGGCAAGGAGGACAAUCCCCAAGCAAGCGCGACGGAACUUUGACACCAUUGUCAUUCUCAUUCAUUGGAGGAUCUGGAAGGAGCGAAAUGCGCGAAUUUUCCAGCACACUGCUUGUAAUAUGGAGAGGGUCCUGGAUCUUAUCAGAGAAGACAUUGGAGUGUGGAGAUCAGCCGGAUGUGUGACUGAUUUAGUUAAUUAG
RNAcentral lists this ribosomal RNA (1038 nucleotides) under Triticum aestivum (bread wheat). Its description in RNAcentral is "partial small subunit ribosomal RNA". Lineage: Eukaryota; Viridiplantae; Streptophyta; Magnoliopsida; Poales; Poaceae. The record is from RNAcentral.